Helianthus annuus (common sunflower) is the source of this 817-nucleotide long non-coding RNA. RefSeq lists it as uncharacterized. The record is from RefSeq and is a predicted model, not a curated record. Lineage: Eukaryota; Viridiplantae; Streptophyta; Magnoliopsida; Asterales; Asteraceae. The transcript is spliced from 3 exons.
UAUAAUUCUUGGACAAAAAUAGAAGGCUAAUUACGGUUGUGCCAUGUCUUUUGUACAAGGAAAAGAGAGACAGAAUACGGUAAAGAGAGAGGGAGGGAGACACUUACCGGCCGGCAACCAAUCAUUACGGCAGAGACACGGCGGCACGCUGGCGGUGACAUCACAACCGGCGCGUACACUACCACAACUCGGCCACCAAUCAUACGGAACAACGGUUCCGUCAGUGAUGUUGGUUCCGCGGUACAAGCGACGACGGUUGUAUUCCUAUGGUCCAAGUGGUAUAUGAGGGCGACCAGCGUUGGCGGCAAAAACUGGAACUAGGGUUUCGGUCGGUGUCCCACAGCCUAUCUGGCUUCAAGACGAUGUCUCCGGCGACAUGCAAUGGCCACGCAGUUAGGGCUUCGCCACAAACACAAACACGACGACGACUGUGGUUGAUCUCCCGCGACAUUGGAAGCCGAUCCUUCCAAACCAGGUCAUUCAUUUGUCAGUCAAAGUUGUGGACUUUCGCUAGCGAUUACACUUGCGGAUAGCAUGAAUGUGAAUCCAAAAAAGAUGUGAAGAAGUUGAAAGUGGAAUUUCAGAUUCACAUAGAACAGACGCCAGAUUUUUCACAAAAGACGGCCAUAUGUUAUCCAAGCUAAGCUAAGACGGUGAAUGAUGCUUAUUAUGAAAAUUAUUUAAAGAAUAUGAAGAUCAAAUGUUUUCAUGUGUUCGUGUAUAAAGAUUGUAUUUGCAUACAUUUGCAUUUAGCUUGGAUUCUAAAUUCUGUUAUUUCUAUUACACUAUUAAGUACUAAAUUUCAUUGUUUUAAUCA